AUUGAACGCUGGCGGCAUGCCUUACACAUGCAAGUCGAACGGAUCCUUCGGGAUUAGUGGCGGACGGGUGAGUAACACGUGGGAACGUGCCCUUUGGUUCGGAACAACUCAGGGAAACUUGAGCUAAUACCGGAUGUGCCCUUCGGGGGAAAGAUUUAUCGCCAUUGGAGCGGCCCGCGUCUGAUUAGCUAGUUGGUGAGGUAAAGGCUCACCAAGGCGACGAUCAGUAGCUGGGCUGAGAGGAUGAUCAGCCACAUUGGGACUGAGACACGGCCCAAACUCCUACGGGAGGCAGCAGUGGGGAAUCUUGCGCAAUGGGCGAAAGCCUGACGCAGCCAUGCCGCGUGAAUGAUGAAUGUCUUAGGAUUGUAAAAUUCUUUCACCAGGGACGAUAAUGACGGUACCCGGAGAAGAAGCCCCGGCUAACUUCGUGCCAGCCGCCGCAGUAA
Molecule: ribosomal RNA, 449 nt
Filed under: uncultured bacterium
Lineage: Bacteria
Description: partial 16S ribosomal RNA
Rfam family: Bacterial small subunit ribosomal RNA
Source: RNAcentral